ACAUCUUAGAUGUCACUAUUUUUUGAGAAAAUAACAGCCUCCUUGGAACAGCGAAGAUUCGCGGCACUAUCCCUAUGCUCAUAUCGAGGGCUGCUCCUUCUCUUGUCUCUUUUUCCGAACCCCCAAUACAAUACCUUGGCUUCAUUGUUUUCAUGCUUUGUCUUCCUGAACAAAAUAAAAACCUAUUUCAGUGUUGUUGAGUGUUAUGGACUCCAACUUCCCCGGUGCUUCGGAAGACCAGGGCACACCGUAUCUCUCAGACUCGCUUGGUUUUGCAACCAUGGAAGACAACGACUUCUCAGAAACUGCAAAGUUCAUUAGCCAGAUCCUCAUGGAAGAAAACGUUGACCAGAAGCCAUUCUAUGACUCACUCACCUUGCAAGUUACCGAGAAAUCCUUCUACGAUGCUCUCGCCGGCAACCUACCUCUUUCUCCCGAUCAACACCCCGUUCUUCUCAGUCCCGAAGCUGAAACCACCACCACCACCACCACCAGCAGCAGCAGCAGCAGUAGCAACAACAAUUUUUCAGAUGAAUAUUCUCGUGAGUUGAAGCUCCGUUCUCCGGAUUCUAUUUCUGUUUCUGCUUUUCAGUUUAAAUCUCAACCACCGCCUUCAGUUACUGUUAGUGACGCAGUCUCAGAUUUGGAUUCUUCUAUUGCCAAACUCUUAGCCCACAAUAUUUUCAAUCAUGUUGAUUCUGUUUCCCAGUUUAGAAGAGGCUUCGAGGAAGCUAGUAAAUUUCUUCCUCCGGGGCCUAACCUUGUAACUGCUCUACAUUCAAAGAGAGAAGAACCAAUCAAUUCUUUUGGAGACAAUUCCUAUGGGUUGUUGAAGGGUAGAAAGAAUCACCAGCGCCAAGAGAUAGAAACUAGAGAAGAAGGAGAAGGAGAGAGAAGUAACAAGCAAUCAGCACUUUCCCUUGUUGAUGAGAGUGACCUGUCAGAUGCUUUUGAUCGGCUGUUGCUUCAUGAAGGAAACCUGUGUGACGAACACAUUCGUUUGACGAGUGGAUCAGUGAACGUUGAGGAACGAGAUGGAGGUAAGGGUCGUUCAAAGAAACAAGGGAGGAGGAAGAAGGAAACGGUGGAUUUGAGGAAUCUUCUAUUGAUGUGUUCACAAUCUGUGUAUGCCAAUGACAACAGGACUGCCAAUGAAUUGCUAAAACAGAUUAGGCAACACUCUUCUCCCGUUGGGGAUGCAUCACAGAGGUUGGCUCAUUACUUCACCAAUGGCCUCGAAGCACGCUUGGUUGGGGAUGGCACAAGUGCACAAGGAAUGUAUACUUUUCUGAGCUCUAAGAACAUCACUGUUGCUGAGUUUCUCAAGGCAUACCAGGUUUUCACUUCCUCCAGCCCUUUCAAGAAGUUUAUACAUUUCUUUGCAAAUAAAAUGAUUAUGAAAGCAGCUGCAAAGGCAGAAACCGUUCAUAUUAUUGAUUUUGGGAUCCUAUACGGUUUCCAGUGGCCAAUACUCAUUAAGUUUUUCUCAAAUAGGGAGGGUGGACCUCCCAAGCUUAGGAUCACAGGGAUAGAGUUUCCCCAACCUGGCUUUCGCCCCGCAGAAAGAAUUGAGGAAACAGGUCACCGUCUGGCUAACUAUUGUAAGCGUUACAAUGUUCCCUUUGAGUACAAUGCCAUAGCAUCGAAGAACUGGGAAAACAUUCAGGUUGAAGCCCUCAAAAUUCAGAGCAACGAGCUAGUUGCUGUCAAUUGUCACUUGAGGUUUGAGAAUUUACUGGAUGAGUCUAUUGAAGUGAACAGUCCUAGAAAUGGAGUCCUUCAUUUGAUCAGGAAGAUAAAUCCGGAUAUUUUUACUCAGUCCAUCACUAAUGGAUCAUAUAAUGCCCCUUUCUUUGCCACGCGGUUUAGGGAGGCUCUCUUUCAUUAUUCUGCUAUUUAUGAUUUGAUUGACACAGUCAUACCUCGUGAAAACGAAUGGAGGUUGAUGCUUGAGAGAGAGCUUUUGGGCAGAGAGAUUAUGAAUGUUAUAGCAUGUGAAGGUUCUGAGAGGAUUGAGAGGCCUGAGACAUACAAACAGUGGUAUGUUAGGAAUACGAGGGCUGGUUUCAAGCAGCUCCCGCUAAAUGAGGAAUUAAUGGCCAAAUUCAGGACUAAGUUAAAGGAAUGGUACCACAGAGAUUUUGUCUUCGAUGAAGAUAACAAGUGGAUGCUUCAAGGUUGGAAGGGCCGCAUUUUGUAUGCUUCCACUUGUUGGGUGCCAGCAUAAUGAGAUGCUACUGGACUUGGCUUAUAACUAAUAUUAGACUAAAGGUUCUGGUAUCCUGUGUUUGGCUACCUACUUGCUUAACUUUCGGGCUGUGAUAAAAGAUUGUACCAAGUUUUGCACGAAGUCACUUGCAACUUCUGUGAAACUCAUGAUUUCCCCUCAGCAUCUCUAGAAUUUUCUGGUAGCUAAGAUGCUUUCUUAUUUUAAGUACCAUUACCAAGUUGAUAUGGCCUAUUCACAUAACCUGAUAAUGUGUUGGUCCUGAAAGCUUUUCCCCGUGAUUGUUUGCAUGCUUGCUGAGUAAUCUGUUGGAUGUGGCUCGUAUUGCGAAAUAUGCAUGACAUGAAUUGCUUAAAUGGAGCUGGCAAUUUCUUUCAAUGCUUGUAGUCUAUGAAAAGUUAAUGAUAAUAUGAAGUUUUGUGAAUAUUUUUUUGCCUGACAUAAUCUUUCAAUAACUCGAGAACUUGAUAGAUCAAAAGCUACUGGUUUAUUAUCAUUGAUUAAUGAAAUAAGCAAAGUUCACAACA
This is an RNA transcript of Glycine soja, 2754 nucleotides long. It is a transcript of the gene named scarecrow-like protein 14, with no coding region annotated. The record is from RefSeq and is a predicted model, not a curated record. The transcript is spliced from 4 exons. NCBI's taxonomy places the organism in Eukaryota, Viridiplantae, Streptophyta, Magnoliopsida, Fabales, Fabaceae.